GUAGUACACAGAAGGAGGGACAUGUGAUCCAAACCACAAUCUCAUGGCGAAUUCAGGUGAGGCUCAUUUCGUGUUCUUAACCUUCACUAUCUUCUUGCUUGUCGCCGGAGAGCUCGCCUCUCCGGCCACGGCCCAACUGGUCGAAUCAGAUACUCCAGCAACGGAAAAACCUUCGGUGUCGCCUCCGAUGUUCGGAGGAAAAUACGGCGUAUCUAAAAAUGUCGCAGAAGAAAAGGGAUUCUACGAGCUGCCCAUGCCUCUCUUUCGCCCUCCUCGCAUUCCCCCUUCCAUGAAAAGCUCCACAACAACUCCAUAGCUCGCACCGCGGACCUCUUUUUUUUUUUUUCAAAAUAACCCUAAAAAAUUUUAUAAUUGGUCAGAAAACCACGUCAAAAGUUUAUUUGGCAAACUAGGCCUGUUCUGCUCACCUCAGUGCCAAGCUGGCAGGAUACAACAGAAAACAGUAAAUGAUUCACUGUCUUAUAACAUUCUCAGUAGAACGGUUGCAUAUCAUAAUCUGACGUGGCGCUACCUUCGAACUUAGUUUGCCAAAUAAUAUUUUGGCAGAAUUAUUUGACAAAUUAUAAUUUUUUAAGAGUUAUUUUGAGAAGAAAAAAGGAGGGAAAAAAA
Molecule: long non-coding RNA, 630 nt
Organism: Ananas comosus (pineapple)
Lineage: Eukaryota; Viridiplantae; Streptophyta; Magnoliopsida; Poales; Bromeliaceae
Exons: 2
Source: RefSeq, a predicted model, not a curated record